AGAGUUUGAUCCUGGCUCAGAACGAACGCUGGCGGCAGGCCUCAAACAUGCAAGUCUAGGGGGUGUAGCAAUACAUCACCGGCGGACGGGUGCGUAACGCGUGGGAAUGUACCUAUUGGUUCGGAACAACUGAGGGAAACUUCAGCUAAUACCGGAUGAGCCCGAAAGGGGAAAGAUUUCUCGCCAAUAGAUCAGCCCGCGUCCGAUUAGCUAGUUGGUGGGGUUAUGGCCUACCAAGGCGACGAUCGGUAGCUGUUCUGAGAGGAAGAUCAGCCACACUGGGACUGAGACACGGCCCAGACUCCUACGGGAGGCAGCAGUUGGGAAUCUUGGACAAUGGGGGAAACCCUGAUCCAGCCAUGCCGCGUGAGUGAUGAAGGCCUUCGGGUUGUAAAACUCUUUCGACGGGGACGAUAAUGACGGUACCCGUAGAAGAAGCUCCGGCUAACUUCGUGCCAGCAGCCGCGGUAAUACGAAGGGGGCUAGCGUUGUUCGGAAUUACUGGGCGUAAAGCGCGCGCAGGCGGUCUUCCAAGUCAGUGGUGAAAGCCCGGAGCUCAACUCCGGAACUGCCAUUGAAACUGUGAGACUUGAGUACGAGAGAGGUGAGUGGAAUUCCCAGUGUAGAGGUGAAAUUCGUAGAUAUUGGGAAGAACACCGGUGGCGAAGGCGGCUCACUGGCUCGUAACUGACGCUCAGGCGCGACAGCGUGGGGAUCAAACAGGAUUAGAUACCCUAGUAGUCC
Molecule: ribosomal RNA, 744 nt
Filed under: uncultured bacterium
Lineage: Bacteria
Description: bacterial SSU rRNA
Rfam family: Bacterial small subunit ribosomal RNA
Source: RNAcentral